UUUGGAGGUUUCGGCCUCACACAACGCGCUUUGGAUGCGGGCGUAAUGGCUUUAAUCGACCCGUCUUGAAACACGGACCAAGGAGUCUAACAUACAUGCAAGUGUUUGGGUGAAAAACCCAUGCGCGAAAUGAAAGUGAAAGUUAAGAACCCUCAAGGGUGCAUUGACGCCUGGCCCAGAACAAUUUGUGACGGAGCUACGGUAGAGCAUGCAUGUUGGGACCCGAAAGAUGGUGAACUAUGCCUGAAUAGGGUGAAGCCAGAGGAAACUCUGGUGGAAGCUCGCAGCGAUUCUGACGUGCAAAUCGAUCGUCAAAUUUGGGUAUAGGGGCGAAAGACUAAUCGAACCAUCUAGUAGCUGGUUCCCGCCGAAGUUUCCCUCAGGAUAGCAGACGCUCAUUUAUUCAGAUUUAUGUGGUAAAGCGAAUGAUUAGAGGCCUUGGGGUUGAAACAACCUUAACCUAUUCUCAAACUUUAAAUAUGUAAGAUGAGACGGUUUCUUAAAUGAACCGUUUCAUGAUUGAAGAGCGUCUAGUGGGCCAUUUUUGGUAAGCAGAACUGGCGAUGCGGGAUGAACCGAACGUGAGGUUAAGGUGCCGGAAUCUACGCUCAUCAGACACCACAAAAGGUGUUGGUUCAUCUAG
This 643-nucleotide ribosomal RNA is filed under the name uncultured Basidiomycota. RNAcentral's name for it is "LSU rRNA". It matches the Rfam family "Eukaryotic large subunit ribosomal RNA", at positions 589 to 1236 of the family's 3401-position model. Lineage: Eukaryota; Fungi; Basidiomycota. The record is from RNAcentral.